RNAcentral lists this ribosomal RNA (253 nucleotides) under uncultured bacterium. RNAcentral's name for it is "partial 16S ribosomal RNA". It matches the Rfam family "Bacterial small subunit ribosomal RNA", at positions 524 to 776 of the family's 1533-position model. The record is from RNAcentral.
UACGGAGGAUGCAAGCGUUAUCCGGAAUGAUUGGGCGUAAAGCGUCCGCAGGCGGCUGUGUAAGUCUGCUGUUAAAGCGUGAGGCUCAACCUCAUAAAAGCAGUGGAAACUACACGGCUAGAGUGCGUUCGGGGCAGAGGGAAUUCCUGGUGUAGCGGUGAAAUGCGUAGAUAUCAGGAAGAACACCGGUGGCGAAAGCGCUCUGCUAGGCCGCAACUGACACUGAGGGACGAAAGCUAGGGGAGCGAAUGGG